UACGUAGGGUGCGAGCGUUGUCCGGAAUUAUUGGGCGUAAAGGGCUCGUAGGCGGUUUGUCGCGUCGGGAGUGAAAUCCACUGGCUUAACUGGUGGCUUGCUUUCGAUACGGGCAGGCUAGAGUGUGGUAGGGGAGAUCGGAAUUCCUGGUGUAGCGGUGAAAUGCGCAGAUAUCAGGAGGAACACCGGUGGCGAAGGCGGAUCUCUGGGCCAUUACUGACGCUGAGGAGCGAAAGCGUGGGGAGCGAACAGG
RNAcentral lists this ribosomal RNA (253 nucleotides) under uncultured bacterium. Its description in RNAcentral is "partial 16S ribosomal RNA". It matches the Rfam family "Bacterial small subunit ribosomal RNA", at positions 524 to 776 of the family's 1533-position model. The record is from RNAcentral.